Molecule: ribosomal RNA, 829 nt
Filed under: bacterium FA_183B
Lineage: Bacteria
Description: bacterial SSU rRNA
Rfam family: Bacterial small subunit ribosomal RNA
Source: RNAcentral
GCUUGCUCUCCAAGAAGUUAGCGGCGGACGGGUGAGGUAACACGUGGGUAAUCAUGCCCAUGAAGACUGGGAUAACUCCGGGAAACAGGGGCUGAUACCAGGAUAACAUUUGAACUGCAUCGUUCGAAGAUGAAAGGCGACUUCGACUGUCACUUAUGGAUGGACCCGCGUCGCAUUAGCUAGUUGGUGAGGUAACGGCUCACCAAGGCAACGAUGCGUAGCCGACCUGAGAGGGUGAUCGGCCACACUGGGAGUGAGACACGGCCCAGACUCCUACGGGAGGCAGCAGUAGGGAAUCUUCCGCAAUGGACGAAAGUCUGACGGAGCAACGCCGCGUGAGUGAUGAAGGCUUUCGGGUCGUAAAACUCUGUUGUUAUGGAAGAACAAGUGCUAGUUGAAUAAGCUGGCACCUUGACGGUACCUAACCAGAAAGCCACGGCUAACUACGUGCCAGCAGCCGCGGUAAUACGUAGGUGGCAAGCGUUAUCCGGAAUUAUUGGGCGUAAAGCGCGCGCAGGUGGUUUCUUAAGUCUGAUGUGAAAGCCCACGGCUCAACCGUGGAGGGUCAUUGGAAACUGGGAGACUUGAGUGCAGAAGAGGAAAGUGGAAUUCCAUGUGUAGCGGUGAAAUGCGUAGAGAUAUGGAGGAACACCAGUGGCGAAGGCGACUUUCUGGUCUGUAACUGACACUGAGGCGCGAAAGCGUGGGGAGCAAACAGGAUUAGAUACCCUGGUAGUCCACGCCGUAAACGAUGAGUGCUAAGUGUUAGAGGGUUUCCGCCCUUUAGUGCUGAAGUUAACGCAUAAGCACUCCGCGUGGAGACGCCGAG